This is a non-coding RNA of Peromyscus maniculatus bairdii (prairie deer mouse), 376 nucleotides long. Lineage: Eukaryota; Metazoa; Chordata; Mammalia; Rodentia; Cricetidae. The record is from RefSeq and is a predicted model, not a curated record.
UCUUGACAUUGAGCAGGUCCUGGUACUCUCGGAGCUGUGCCGCCAUCUCCCAUUUGGUGUUUCUCAGCUCACUGUCCAGCUGCUGAAUAGCGUCCUGGGGAUGACAGAUCAGGCAAAGUCAUCUGCCAGCCAGUACCUGGCCCUCAGUUCAGUGCCUGCAGGUGUCAAGGCUUGGCAAGUGUCUGCUCUUUGACUGCCUGGCAAGCCAGAGGGUCCCCAGAAGCAUGCUGACCAGAGACAAAACGUCUCCCCCCUGAGCACUGCUUCAAGUGAACCUUGUCCUUUACCUCCUGAGUUUUCUCCAGUCCUAAUGGCUCUGUAAUCAUCGCGUUCACUUGUUUACCCAGUUCUAAGAAAGUGACACUUUUCUCCCCAA